Molecule: small nuclear RNA, 285 nt
Filed under: Procavia capensis (Cape rock hyrax)
Lineage: Eukaryota; Metazoa; Chordata; Mammalia; Hyracoidea; Procaviidae
Description: 7SK RNA (ENSPCAG00000020622.1)
Rfam family: 7SK RNA
About the family: 7SK was discovered as an abundant small nuclear RNA in the mid-70s but a possible function has only recently been suggested. Two independent studies have found that 7SK RNA binds the CDK9/cyclin T complex (known as elongation factor P-TEFb).
Source: RNAcentral
GAAUGUAAGGGUGAUCUGACUAUCGCAUGGCACUCUAAUAGUAUCUAGUGUGGCUUGGGAAAAUCUAUCUAGCUUGGUAGAUGUUCUUUUCUCUACUCCUUCUUCAUGUGUUACCAUCCAGAAGCUGUUUCCUUCGCCCAGGGUAGUGACUUUCCUCUAAUGAGCCACACUUUUCAUCAGACAAGAGUAUCUAAGUAGCUGAAUUUCCUUAUUAGAACCUCUAAAUAAGGGUGAUUAAGAGCUAUGGCUGCUAACCAAAAGGUCAGCAGUUCAAGCCCACCAGCU